Long non-coding RNA from Felis catus (domestic cat), 424 nucleotides. RefSeq lists it as uncharacterized. The record is from RefSeq and is a predicted model, not a curated record. Lineage: Eukaryota; Metazoa; Chordata; Mammalia; Carnivora; Felidae. The transcript has 2 exons.
UUGCUGAGCUCCCCAGGACCUGGUAUUUACUUCAGCCCCAGCUGCAAACCUUCUCUCUCACUCCAGGAAUUGCAUAAAUAAACCACUGAGAACAGAGCCCUCCUCACCACAAACAGCACACGGGCUUCUGCUGGGCUUCUGCUCCGCCUCUGAGGCUUUGGACCAGCUCCUGGGAGGGGCUCCUGCCCGGUGACAGGAGCCGCAUGGAAAAAGACUGAUUUGUUCUGAAAUGUUCUGGUUUCCUGAGAAGAACCCAGGGUUCCAGCCGGCACAGAUACACGUGUACGCACACGCAUGACGCACAGAUCGGUCCACACGCUCCGGCUACAUGGGUUCACGGAUUGGGCUAUAAUGCCCCGCGACAGGGAUAUCAUUGCAUGCACUGCUGGGGCCCCUGCAACGUUGUGCUUGGAAUAAAGUUAAU